GGGUCAGUAGGUUCGUCGUGCCACCGGUACGUACUGGUCUCACUGAUUCCUCCUUCCUGAAGAACCGUAAUGCCAUUAAUUUGGUGUUGCGGGGAAACAGGACUGUUACUUUGAAAAAUUAGAGUGUUUAAAGCAAGCUAACGCUUGAAUACAUUAGCAUGGAAUAAUGAAAUAGGACGAUCGAUCCUAUUUUGUUGGUUUCUAGGAUUGACGUA
RNAcentral lists this ribosomal RNA (215 nucleotides) under Glomeromycotina sp. RNAcentral's name for it is "partial small subunit ribosomal RNA". The stretch from base 40 to 215 matches the Rfam family "Eukaryotic small subunit ribosomal RNA", at positions 686 to 864 of the family's 1831-position model. The record is from RNAcentral. Lineage: Eukaryota; Fungi; Glomeromycota.